AAGUCGUAACAAGGUUUCCGUAGGUGAACCUGCGGAAGGAUCAUUAACAAAUCUGCUAUGCGGCCGAGCCUUCGGGCUUGACGCAUAUAUUUACCCCGAGCCUGGCAGCAAUGCCGGCUUUGGUUGGGUGGGACGCGAGUCCUGCUCCGGUUGUGUGAGGGCGCAAGCCCUUGCCAGCCACAUAGACGCUUGUAUGUUUGACAGAGUUACACAGUUGUAAAACUAAAAUGACAACUUUUAACAAUGGAUCUCUUGGCUCUU
Molecule: unclassified non-coding RNA, 261 nt
Filed under: fungal sp.
Lineage: Eukaryota; Fungi
Description: partial internal transcribed spacer region
Rfam family: Eukaryotic small subunit ribosomal RNA (bases 1-46)
Source: RNAcentral